RNAcentral lists this ribosomal RNA (546 nucleotides) under uncultured fungus. Its description in RNAcentral is "eukaryotic LSU rRNA". The stretch from base 196 to 349 matches the Rfam family "5.8S ribosomal RNA". The record is from RNAcentral. Lineage: Eukaryota; Fungi.
UCCGUAGGUGAACCUGCGGAAGGAUCAUUACAUUAUGUGCUUCUAUAGCCUUGUCGGGUGGCUAUUCUUGCAAUAGCCCCUGCCUGAAUCCGUGUCUUUUGUGUACUACAUGUUUCCUUGGUAGGCUUGCCUGCCAGUUGGACCACAUAUAACCAUUUGCAAUUGCAAUCAGCGUCUGAAAACCAUAAUAAUUACAACUUUCAACAACGGAUCUCUUGGUUCUGGCAUCGAUGAAGAACGCAGCGAAAUGCGAUAAGUAGUGUGAAUUGCAGAAUUCAGUGAAUCAUCGAAUCUUUGAACGCACAUUGCGCCCCUUGGUAUUCCAUGGGGCAUGCCUGUUCGAGCGUCAUUUGUACCCUCAAGCUUUGCUUGGUGUUGGGUGCUUGUCCUUUCCUUGUGUAUGGACUCGCCCUAAAGUCAUUGGCAGCCGGCAUAUUGGCCUUGGAGCGCAGCACAAUUUGCGUUUCUUGUCAGUAAAUGCUGGUAUCCAUUAAGCCCUUUAUCACUUUUGACCUCGGAUCAGGUAGGGAUACCCGCUGAACUUAA